This 442-nucleotide ribosomal RNA is filed under the name uncultured Rickettsiaceae bacterium. RNAcentral describes it as "bacterial SSU rRNA". It matches the Rfam family "Bacterial small subunit ribosomal RNA", at positions 29 to 505 of the family's 1533-position model. The record is from RNAcentral. Lineage: Bacteria; Pseudomonadati; Pseudomonadota; Alphaproteobacteria; Rickettsiales; Rickettsiaceae.
AAUGAACGCUGGCGGCAGGCCUAACACAUGCAAGUCGAGCGAGAAAGCACCUUCGGGUGUGAGUAGAGCGGCAAACGGGUGAGUAACACGUGGGAACGUACCUUGAAGUCUGGAAUAGCCCCGGGAAACUGGGAUUAAUGCCGGAUAAUAUCUACGGAUUAAAGAUUUAUCGCUUCAAGAUCGGCCCGCGUUAGAUUAGCUAGUUGGUAAGGUAAAGGCUUACCAAGGCCACGAUCUAUAGCUGGUUUGAGAGGAUGAUCAGCCACACUGGAACUUAGACACGGUCCAGACUCCUACGGGAGGCAGCAGUGAGGAAUAUUGCACAAUGGAGGAAACUCUGAUGCAGCCAUGCCGCGUGAGUGAAGAAGGCCCUAGGGUUGUAAAACUCUUUUAGCGAGGAAGAUAAUGACAUUACUCGCAGAAAAAGCCCCGGCUAACUCCG